GCUUGUGUGUAUGUGUAUAUAUGUUCUUGUGUAUGUAUGCAUGUGUGCAUGUUUGUGUGUAUGUGUAUGUUCUUAUGUAUGUAUGUGUGCGUGUGUGUUUGUGUGUAUGUGUAUAUAUGUUCUUGUGUAUGUAUGCAUUUAUGCAUGCUUGUGUGUAUGUGUAUAUAUGUUCUUGUGUAUAUAUGCGUGUGUGCAUGUUUGCAAGUAUGUGUGUAGGUUCUUGUGUAUGUAUACAUGUGUACAUGUUUGUGUGUUUGUGUGUAUGUUCUUGUGUAUAUAUGCGUGUGUACCUGUUUGUGUGUUUGUGUGUAGGUUCUUGUGUAUGUAUACAUGUGUACAUGUUUGUGUGUGUGUAUGUUCUUGUGUAUAUAUGCAUGUGUGCAUGUUUGUGUGUAUGUAUGCAUACAUAUGUGCAUGCUUGUGUGUAUGUUCUUGUGUAUGUAUGCAUGUGUGCAUGUGUAUAUGCUCUUAUGUAUGAAUACAUGUGUGCAUGUUUGUGUGUAUGUAUGUAUGUCCUUGUGUAUGUAUACAUGUGUGUAUGUAGGAGCCAGAAGUCAAUUUCAAGUGUCUUCCUUGAUCAUUAACUUUUUAAUCUUAUUUUUUCAAAAAGAUUUAAAAAUUGUGUGUGUGUGUGUAUGUGUGUGUGUGCACUUGAAUAGGAUGCCAGGAGAGGGUGUUGGCUCCCCUGGAUGUGGAGGUAUAGGCAGCUUUAAGCCAUCUGGCAUGGGGUUCUCUGGAAGAGCUGGGCACACUUGUUAGCUGAUGAGUUACCUCCUAAACCCUUCCGAUUUUAUUUGUUUACUGAGACUGCGUCUCUUAAUGAACACAGAGCUUAUCGAAUCAGCUAGACUAGCUGGCCAGUUAGCUUCAGGAGCACCCCUGUCUCCCAUCCCCUAGUCCAGGGGUUCCAGAUGUGGACUGCCAUAUCUUGCUUUUGUUUGGAUGCUUGGGAUUGGACUUAAGGUCCUUACACUUGUGUGGCAGGCACAUUACUGACCGAGCCAUACCCAGAGUCCCUUUAAUAGGCUCUGCACUCCUUUCUGGUCCCUGUGACCUUUCUGAGUUUAGAUGAAUCUCCAAAGGGAUUCUGUAUUCUGUGUCAGAUACAGGUGUAAACACAGACCCAGGAAGGCCGCCUGUCGUUGGGGUCAGCGCUGUGACUGCUAUCCUGACUGGGCGGCAGACUAGGACUUGCCUCUGUAACACAGGUUCUCUGUGGCAGGACAGGACCCUAAGCCCACUUUUGCAGGCUUCAGGGUCCAAUGAAUGUGACUUUCUCAUGUGAUUUCCUUCCCAGCACCUGUGCUAUGACCCCUUUCCUCUAGGCUGCCAUUUGGUUAGCAAGAAUAGUGUCCGAGGAGACCAACCACUCCAGGAUUCUCCAGGAGUUUGAAUGCAGCAGACCUAACAAAAACAAAUUUUUAGCUCUGUGCCACACAGGAGGGAGACAAUGCUUGCAUUUGGGUGAGAGACCCUUGAUGUCCCAACUCUUAUCCCCUCCUCUCCCAGCCACUGCAUCUAAGUCCUCUGGAAGUGGUCUGGGCAGUGGGCCAGGUCACUUGUUAAGAAGCCAAUUUGCAAAGGAUUGACAGAAGUCAGGCAAUAAUCCACUCGGACAGAUCCACAGCUCGGGGACUUCAGGAUAAUUAGUGAAGAGUGUUAACCAGCAGUGCUGCCAAAACGUUUUGCUCCAGGUCCAAGAUGAGCGUCUGCGGCCAGGAUGGGCCUGUUUCCUGUGGUGAAUUCCCAUCACGAUGCUGCCGCUAUUUCCUGUCCAGCUAAAGAUCAGAAAGUGACAGGCUGCCUCUCGCUUCCCUGCCUGCCCAGCCUGCUGGUUUCAGCAGUAGUUUGUCAUGCCAGAAUGCCUAACGAGACCAGCUCCCAACACCUGUGGCCCUAAUAAUCACCAGAGUGGGACAUUUCUGUGUGGUGCGUUCCCAAAGAAUUGAAGAAGUACCUGGCACUUGGGAAAUGGGUUAGCUGAUAAAGCUACUUGUCUUGUGAGUUUGAUCCUCAGAACUUUGGUAAAAAGCCAGGUAAAUUGUUAUGCACUUUUAAUCCCAGAGCUGGGGAGGAUCCCAGUACUCACUGGCCAGCCUGAUGGUCGAGCCUAUUCUGUAAGCUCCAGGACAGUCAGAGACAAUCAGAAAAUAAGGUGAAUGGUAUCUGAAAAAUACACCUGAGGCUGUCCUGUGGCCUCCACAUGCAUAUGCAUGCACACAUACACACAUAUAAACACACACAAAUAUGUUGUUGUAAAAAUAUAAAAAUAAUAAAGAGUAACGGUGUCUUUUACCCCGCUAGCUUUGUACCGCGGUGCCCCAAGAUAUCUGCUUUGGCACCUGGGGCUGGAGGACUGACCUGGCACCACCUCACCCACUACACCACUCAGGAUGGAAUCUUACUCCUCAGAGCCUGCUGAGAGAGUGGACAGGAGAAAACGAUGCCUGGAUUUGGGGGUGAAGCCAACUUGCUUGCCCACUCUGCAGAAUGGCGGUCCUGGACAUGUCUCAGCUGUCCAUGAUGUACCCAUCUUUCUUGUUUCUCCCUUCCCAGCUCUGCAGGAACCUAACUGAGAGACAAUUGCAAUUGAUAUGGUGGCCUAGAGCCAUGCGGAUGGUCCGGUUCCACCCUUUGGAGGCCUCCCUGCCUCAACACCACCAUACUGGGAGCCAAGCCUCUGGCACUUGUACCCUAAGGAAACACAUUCGAAGCACAGCAUGCCCAUGGCUCAAAAUCCAUUCUAGUCCCCGAAGCCUGGUGUCGAUCUGUGUACUGGGGUGCUAUCCGCCGGGAUCUGCUGGGCUCUGGCCUGGCAGGAGUGGCCAAAGAGUUGCAGAUCUCCAAGGGGGAGCUGGAGCAAGGUGAGGCUUUUCCAUGAUGGUUGCUGUCCCAGAGUGGUGGCAGGUGAUACAGGUCACAGCAGGUGGCUAGGAACCAAAGUGGGGACCACCAGGCAGGAAGUGGCUGCGGUAGGCCUGAGCAGCUUUUGACAGCUUUGUAAGAGAAUAAUCUUCCUUUUGGGGGUUACAGCUUAAUAAAACGGGCACUCAGACGGCCUUUGGUGAAAUAA
Molecule: non-coding RNA, 3073 nt
Organism: Rattus norvegicus (Norway rat)
Lineage: Eukaryota; Metazoa; Chordata; Mammalia; Rodentia; Muridae
Source: RefSeq, a predicted model, not a curated record